Molecule: ribosomal RNA, 374 nt
Filed under: uncultured organism
Description: partial 16S ribosomal RNA
Rfam family: Bacterial small subunit ribosomal RNA
Source: RNAcentral
GUAGGUGGCAAGCGUUGUCCGGAAUUAUUGGGGCGUAAAGCGCGCGCAGGCGGUUCUUUAAGUCUGAUGUGAAAGCCCACGGGCUCAACCGUGGAGGGUCAUUGGAAACUGGAGAACUUGAGUACAGAAGAGGAAAGCGGAAUUCCACGUGUAGCGGUGAAAUGCGUAGAGAUGUGGAGGAACACCAGUGGCGAAGGCGGCUUUCUGGUCUGUAACUGACGCUGAGGCGCGAAAGCGUGGGGAGCAAACAGGAUUAGAUACCCUGGUAGUCCACGCCGUAAACGAUGAGUGCUAAGUGUUAGGGGGUUUCCGCCCCUUAGUGCUACAGCUAGCGCAUUAAGCACUCCGCCUGGGGAGUACGGCCGCAAAGGCUG